Etheostoma cragini (Arkansas darter) is the source of this 129-nucleotide long non-coding RNA. RefSeq lists it as uncharacterized. The record is from RefSeq and is a predicted model, not a curated record. The transcript is spliced from 3 exons. NCBI's taxonomy places the organism in Eukaryota, Metazoa, Chordata, Actinopteri, Perciformes, Percidae.
AGGCAGCCAGUGUAUAGAUUCAGCCCCAUUUUAGCCCAGAAUCAGAAAUAGAAUCAGAAUAGGAUGUAUUGCCAAGUAAGUAGCAUUUACACAGAAUUUGCCUUGCUGUUUUGUUUUUUUUGUGCAUAC